Molecule: ribosomal RNA, 534 nt
Filed under: uncultured bacterium
Lineage: Bacteria
Description: bacterial SSU rRNA
Rfam family: Bacterial small subunit ribosomal RNA
Source: RNAcentral
CCAUGCCGCGUGUCUGAAGAAGGCCUUCGGGUUGUAAAGGACUUUUGUCAGGGAGCAAAACUUACUGGUUAAUACCUGGUGAGGUUGAGAGUACCUGAAGAAUAAGCACCGGCUAACUACGUGCCAGCAGCCGCGGUAAUACGUAGGGUGCAAGCGUUAAUCGGAAUUACUGGGCGUAAAGCGUGCGCAGGCGGACUUUUAAGCCAGAUGUGAAAGCCCCGAGCUUAACUUGGGAAUUGCGUUUGGAACUGGGAGUCUAGAGUCUGUCAGAGGGGGAUGGAAUUCCACGUGUAGCAGUGAAAUGCGUAGAGAUGUGGAGGAACACCGAUGGCGAAGGCAGUCCCCUGGGAUAAGACUGACGCUCAUGCACGAAAGCGUGGGGAGCAAACAGGAUUAGAUACCCUGGUAGUCCACGCCCUAAACGAUGUCUACUAGUUGUUGGGGUAGCAAUACCUCAGUGACGCAGCUAACGCGUGAAGUAGACCGCCUGGGGAGUACGGUCGCAAGAUUAAAACUCAAAGGAAUUGACGGGGG